CGAAAUGCGAUACCUAGUGUGAAUUGCAGAAUUCCGCGAAUCAUCGAGUCUUUGAACGCAAGUUGCGCCCGAGGCUCGUACCGAGGGCAUGUCUGUCUGAGCGUCCA
This 107-nucleotide ribosomal RNA is filed under the name Frullania magellanica. RNAcentral describes it as "partial 5.8S ribosomal RNA". It matches the Rfam family "5.8S ribosomal RNA", at positions 49 to 154 of the family's 154-position model. Rfam says of the family: 5.8S ribosomal RNA (5.8S rRNA) is a component of the large subunit of the eukaryotic ribosome. It is transcribed by RNA polymerase I as part of the 45S precursor that also contains 18S and 28S rRNA. The record is from RNAcentral. Lineage: Eukaryota; Viridiplantae; Streptophyta; Jungermanniopsida; Porellales; Frullaniaceae.